Molecule: long non-coding RNA, 728 nt
Filed under: Homo sapiens (human)
Lineage: Eukaryota; Metazoa; Chordata; Mammalia; Primates; Hominidae
Description: non-protein coding lnc-TRIQK-8:1
Source: RNAcentral
UUAUCCUCAGUAUAUUUUGGCUUUUGGUAUCUUUUUUGGUUCCAUAUUAAUUUUAGGAUUUUUUUCUAUUUCUGUGAAGCAUGUCAUUGAUAUUUUGGUAGAGAUUAUAUUAAAUCAUAGACUAACAAAUUAUAUAGUUAAUCAUUUUUUCUACUGAUCCUUAGUAUUUUUGUGGUAUCAGUUGUAAUGUCUCCUUUUACAUUUCUCAAUAUAUGUAUUUGGGUCUUCUCACUUUUUUCUUUAUUAAUCUAGCUGUUAGUCUUUUAAUUUUUUCAGGGUUUUUUUUUUACUAUUUUUAAUGGUCAAUUAUGCUAUGUAUUUCAUCUUCACAUUAUUUCCAGUAUUGGAGGUACAAAUCUGUAGGUUUUUAGAGAGUUCUAAUUCAUUUAUACAUUUUUUGCAACUGUGACUCUAUGAAAAUGCACUAACACAACAUUGACUUUGUGUCUAAGUAAAAACACUGCAAUUUCCUCAGUAAAUGAAUGGAAUGCUUUUGAAAGUUUGACUAUAACGUGCCUUGGAAAAUAAUUUUUUGGGUUGAAUCUAUUUGGACAUCUUUGAGUUUCCUGAGAAACUCUGGGUGUCUAUAUCUGUUAGAAUACUUGGGAAAUUUUCUGUUAUUAUUUUGUUAAAUAGGUUUUCUCUGCCUUUGUCAAUCUCUUCCUCUGGAACUGCCAAAAUUCAGAAAUUUGGUUGCUUUAUGAUGUCCCAUAUGUUACCUAGGCUUU